AGCAGCCGCGGUAAUUCCAGCUCCAAUAGCGUAUAUUAAAGUUGUUGCAGUUAAAAAGCUCGUAGUUGAAUUUCGGGAUCAAUAUAUCGGUCGUGCCAUUGGUACGUACUGGUAUCAUUGGUCUCUCCUUUCUGACGAACCAUGAUGUCAUUAAUUUGGUGUUAUGAGAAGUUAGGACUGUUACUUUGAAAAAUUAGAGUGUUUAAAGCAGGCUUUAGCUUGAAUACAUUAGCAUGGAAUAAUGAAAUAGGACGUUCGAACCUAUUUUGUUGGUUUCUAGGAUCAACGUAAUGAUUAAUAGGGAUAGUUGGGGGCAUUAGUAUUCAAUUGUCAGAGGUGAAAUUCUUGGAUUUAUUGAAGACUAACUACUGCAAAGCAUUUGCCAAGGAUGUUUUCAUUAAUCAAGAACGAAAGUUAGGGGAUCGAAGACGAUCAGAUACCGUCGUAGUCUUAACCAUAAAAUUAAUNCCGACUAGGGAUCGGAUGAUGUUAAUUUUAAUGUACUC
Molecule: ribosomal RNA, 506 nt
Filed under: uncultured Glomus
Lineage: Eukaryota; Fungi; Glomeromycota; Glomeromycetes; Glomerales; Glomeraceae
Description: SSU rRNA
Rfam family: Eukaryotic small subunit ribosomal RNA
Source: RNAcentral